AACUUCUCAACCACAUCAUAUGUGGCUUGGACGUGGGGGUAGUUUGCAGGCUUUUGUUCUACAGAAGGUCGGCUCCCCUGAAACAUAUUAGUGGUAUCUGGGCUGCUGCUGUAGGUGUGAUAAAUUAUCUAUGCCUUUGGUAAGCUGCAUGAACAGAUUGCGCUGCUUAUAACAAAAAGAUUGAAUCUGAUGA
RNAcentral lists this unclassified non-coding RNA (193 nucleotides) under uncultured Inocybe. RNAcentral's name for it is "sequence contains ITS2". Lineage: Eukaryota; Fungi; Basidiomycota; Agaricomycetes; Agaricales; Cortinariaceae. The record is from RNAcentral.